This 254-nucleotide ribosomal RNA is filed under the name uncultured bacterium. RNAcentral's name for it is "partial 16S ribosomal RNA". It matches the Rfam family "Bacterial small subunit ribosomal RNA", at positions 524 to 776 of the family's 1533-position model. The record is from RNAcentral.
UACAGAGGGUGCGAGCGUUGUUCGGAAUUAUUGGGCGUAAAGCGCGUGUAGGCGGCCUGUGCAAGUCGGGUGUGAAAGCCCUCAGCUUAACUGAGGAAGUGCGCCCGAAACUGCAUGGCUUGAGUGCUGGAGAGGGUGGCGGAAUUCCCCAAGUAGAGGUGAAAUUCGUAGAUAUGGGGAGGAACACCGGUGGCGAAGGCGGCCACCUGGCCAGCAACUGACGCUGAGACGCGAAAGCGUGGGGAGCAAACAGG